RNAcentral lists this ribosomal RNA (253 nucleotides) under uncultured bacterium. RNAcentral describes it as "partial 16S ribosomal RNA". It matches the Rfam family "Bacterial small subunit ribosomal RNA", at positions 524 to 776 of the family's 1533-position model. The record is from RNAcentral.
CACGUAGGGCGUGAGCGUUGUCCGGAAUUAUUGGGCGUAAAGAGCUCGUAGGCGGCCUGUUGCGUCCGCUGUGAAAGCCCGGGGCUUAACCCCGGGUCGGCAGUGGAUACGGGCAGGCUAGAGGUAGGUAGGGGAGAAUGGAAUUCCCGGUGUAGCGGUGAAAUGCGCAGAUAUCGGGAGGAACACCGGUGGCGAAGGCGGUUCUCUGGGCCUUACCUGACGCUGAGGAGCGAAAGCGUGGGGAGCAAACAGG